RNAcentral lists this ribosomal RNA (1003 nucleotides) under uncultured Streptococcus sp. RNAcentral describes it as "bacterial SSU rRNA". The stretch from base 1 to 841 matches the Rfam family "Bacterial small subunit ribosomal RNA". Lineage: Bacteria; Bacillati; Bacillota; Bacilli; Lactobacillales; Streptococcaceae. The record is from RNAcentral.
GACGAACGCUGGCGGCGUGCUUAACACAUGCAAGUCGAACGCUGAAGGCUCAGCUUGCUGGGCUGGAUGAGUGGCGAACGGGUGAGUAACACGUGAGUAACCUGCCCUCUUCUUUGGGAUAACGGUCGGAAACGGCUGCUAAUACCGGGUAUUCACUGUCCUUCGCAUGGGGGGUGGUGGAAAGGUUUUUUCUGGUGGGGGAUGGGCUCGCGGCCUAUCAGCUUGUUGGUGGGGUGAUGGCUUACCAAGGCUUUGACGGGUAACCGGCCUGAGAGGGUGACCGGUCACAUUGGGACUGAGAUACGGCCCAGACUCCUACGGGAGGCAGCAGUGGGGAAUAUUGCACAAUGGGCGAAAGCCUGAUGCAGCGACGCCGCGUGAGGGAUGAAGGCCUUCGGGUUGUAAACCUCUUUCGCUCAUGGUCAAGCCGCAACUUUGGGUUGUGGUGAGGGUAGUGGGUAAAGAAGCACCGGCUAACUACGUGCCAGCAGCCGCGGUAAUACGUAGGGGGCGAGCGUUGUCCGGAAUUAUUGGGCGUAAAGGGCUUGUAGGCGGUUUGUCGCGUCUGCCGUGAAAUCCUCUGGCUUAACUGGGGGCGUGCGGUGGGUACGGGCAGACUUGAGUGCGGUAGGGGAGACUGGAACUCCUGGUGUAGCGGUGGAAUGCGCAUAUAUCAGGAAAACACCCGUGGCGAUGGCGUGUCUCUGGGGCGUACUGACGCUGAGUAGCGAUUCGUGGGUGCGAACAGGAUUAUAGACCCUGGUAUCCCAGGGCGAAUUCGACAGUGGAUAUCAGCUUUCGAUACGUCUGAAAGCGAAGGAGAAGCCCGUGUACCCAGUUUUUUGUUCCCUGUGUGAUGGUUAAUUAUGCGCUGGCGUUUGUGUUAUUAUUGUGGGUGUGUGGUUGAUGCUACUGUUGUGUUGUGUGUGUGUGUUUUGGUCUAUGUAUUGAUUGUGGGUUGUGUGUUGUGUUGUGUGUGUGUGUUGGUGUGUGGUGUGAUUGA